GGUGGUGUCCGCGGCUCCCGGCUUGUGACAGCCCCGCUGGCCGCCGAUCCUUGGGCCUGAGGCAGCCGCAGCACCGGGCAGACCAUGGAGCUUGGGAUAGCGGAGGUGCAGCGCCGUGCCUGAGGGCGGGCUGGGGCGCUAGCGCCAUGGAUAGCCGGUGCUAUGGGUGCGCGUCCAAGUUCUCUGUCUUCAAGAAAGAGUGUGGCUGCAAGAACUGCGGACGCUCCUUCUGCUCGGGCUGCCGGAGCUUUAGCGCUGUUGUUCCCCGCUGUGGAAACACUCAGCAGAAGGUGUGCAAGCAGUGCUAUGGGAAACUAACUGGAGAAGGAUCUCAAAGCAGUUCAGCAAAAUGGUCACCACCAGAAAACUACAAAAAGCGUGUAGCAGCUUUUGAGGCUAAACAAAACCAGCUGAAAGACAGACAGAAGGCAGCUGCAAAACCCCCAGGUCGAGCAGGCUGCAGAUACCAGGGGCUCUCAAAAGAGGAUAGAGCUAUUGCAGAGAGACUGGAGAGACUCAGGGAGGAAAGGAAACCAAAGUCCAUCCCUACUCAGGCUGAGAUUGAAGCUAGGCUGGCAGCCCUGAAGGAGGACGGCCGAGGACCUGUUCCAUCCACACAGGAAAUGGAGGACCGGUUGGCUGUCCUGCAGGGUAGAGAUCCUCCUUCCCAAGCUCCCAGACCUGUGCACCAAGCCCCGGAUACCCGAAGUCUGGUCCAGCAGACAGAUGACCUGUUAACUCAACUGUCUGAGGAGGUUGCCAUUGAUGAGCAUUACAGACCAAGAGUUCAGCCUCAAGCUGUUAAUAGCCAGAGUUUGAAUGAUCUCAAUCGGGGAAGUGAAGAUUGUGUUUGCCCUGCAAAUCUGGACCCAAAACAGCUAGAGGAAGAGAAGAAUAAACUUCUGGCAGAAGCUGCUGCUGAGCUGCAGGAAGAGAACACUAGGCAGGAAAAGAUCCUACAGGUUGCCAAGAGACUGGCAGCACUCAAAGGCGAGGACCCAGAGAAAGUUACACUGGAAACCUAUAAGCUCCCUGACAGUGAUGAGGAAGUGGCUGAGGAGGAGGCCAUUCGCCGAGUGCUGAAACAGCUCACAGAGGAAGCAGCCCUGGAUGAAGCAAGUGGAUUCAACAUUCCCCCAGAUCAGACCACCCAUCCAGGACCCUCACAACAGAACCUGUGUAAGCAAGCAAAGCAAAAGAGCCACACUCCAGCCACCACAGCUCUUGCAAGGGCAGAUGAUAGUGAUGAGGAUGAGUUACCCUGGUGCUGCAUCUGUAACGAAGAUGCCACUUUGCGCUGCCAUGGCUGUGACGGGGACCUCUACUGUCAGCGCUGUUUUUGGGAAGGCCAUGAGGAGUUUGACCUGAAGGACCACCAGACCUCCCGCUAUCAUCUUCCUUGCAAACAGAAGUGACCACACUUAUGGGCAGAAGAGGAGCUGGAGAAUGGGAAAACAGAGGAGCCAGCCAGAUGGGAAGAAUCUAAGUGGAUUUGCAGCCAGAACGGUGGAUGAAAAACAGAAGUCUUGAUGAGCUCCUGAGAAUUAUAUUCACUGCUCCUUGGCCAGCAUGGAAAUUCCUAGAAGAAUCUAAAGGAGGGACAUCUUGUCCGGUUCCUCAGGUUAACACACUCUUUAAGAAUCAGGAAAAUGUACAAUCUAGCUCCCUCCGAUGUGUGAAGGAGUGGAGACUUCAAACCACUGGUACAAAGUUCACAAACUGGGUGAAGUUUCUCAAUAAUAAUAAGUCCUAAACAUACUCAGAAGUUCUGUUGCUGAUCCUGGUUUUUGUCAGGAAGAUACAUGUUUCCUUGUAACCAAAGCAGGGUUUUCCUUGUGAGCAAGGUCAUUUCUUCUGAGGAUUGGUGACUCUUCGGAGACCUCUCAAUCGACUGAGCAAUUCUGUGAUGAAGUCCUACAAUAAGAGUUGGUUGAAGGAUGUCGUAUUAAUUCCAGCACUCACCAGCCCAAAGCAUAC
This is an RNA transcript of Camarhynchus parvulus, 1977 nucleotides long. It is a transcript of the gene named zinc finger FYVE-type containing 19, with no coding region annotated. The record is from RefSeq and is a predicted model, not a curated record. Lineage: Eukaryota; Metazoa; Chordata; Aves; Passeriformes; Thraupidae. The transcript is spliced from 12 exons.